GCGAGCCUGGUGAGAGGGAGCUGCCGCCUGACGCCGUGCGCAGGUGACGGGGGCCCGGCCCGGCCAGAGCGCCCCCUUCCCGGGCAGCUGGCCCCGGGAUGGGCCGGCGGCAGGUGGCAGCCAGGAAUAUUUGACCCCUGGCUCCUCCCGGAGGCACCGCCACCCCCGUGGGCCUGCGCACACGUUCGCUCCGACCUGGGACGGGCUCCACUCAGGCUGCUCCCGGGGAAGGGGCUGGCGGCAGGCGCCCCGGACGCCCAGAGUCACCCUCUGCGGGCUGGACAGCGACAGGCCUCGCACAGGUCAAGUCGGCCCCUGAGGCAGAAGGCUGCGCAUCUGUCUUGGUGUUUUCUCCGCCCCUGACGCAUCGGAGCCCUAGCUCUGCUGUAUCGGUCAGCGUUUGCCGCCGCAGUGCCCGGUAACAAGGAACAUUCUAGAAGGCCUGCCCUGGGCAGCUCCCACCUGGCAAAGCUGAUACAAGAGGUGUGUUGGAGCAGGUGCCAGCCUGGCGGGGCCACACCUGGGUCUCCCAGGGGACCUCAGGGCUGCUCCCUCUCAGCCCCCUCCCCUCGGGGUGGGUCCCCACCCGCCUCCCCUCACUUAUCCUCCUGUCCCUUUUCUCUCUAGACCCUCUGUCUCCUGCUCCCCCCUUCCCUCUUUCAGAGACUUGA
Long non-coding RNA from Suricata suricatta (meerkat), 671 nucleotides. RefSeq lists it as uncharacterized. The record is from RefSeq and is a predicted model, not a curated record. The transcript has 3 exons. NCBI's taxonomy places the organism in Eukaryota, Metazoa, Chordata, Mammalia, Carnivora, Herpestidae.